RNAcentral lists this ribosomal RNA (520 nucleotides) under uncultured archaeon. RNAcentral describes it as "partial 16S ribosomal RNA". It matches the Rfam family "Archaeal small subunit ribosomal RNA", at positions 354 to 875 of the family's 1478-position model. The record is from RNAcentral.
AAACCCAAACCUGGGAAGGGUUACCCCCCAAGGGGCACCCGAAAAAAGGGGGUUUUCCCUGGGCCUAAAAACCCCCGGAAAUAAAGGGGGGGCAAGACUGGUGUCGCCCGCCGCGGUAACCCCAGCCCCUCGAGUGGUGGGGAUGAUUAUUUGGCCUAAAGCGUCCGUAGCCGGCGGGGUAAGUCUCCCGUUAAAUCCAGCGUCUCAAGCGUUGGACUGCGGGAGAUACUGCCUGGCUAGAGAGUGGGAGAGGUGUACGGUAUUCUGGGGGUAGGGGCGAAAUCCUUUGAUCCCCGGAGGACCACCAGUGGCGAAGGCUGUACACUAGAACACGUCUGACGGUCAGGGACGAAAGCUGGGGUAGCGAACCGGAUUAGAUACCCGGGUAGUCCCAGCCGUAAACGAUGCAUGCUAGGUGUUGGGUUGGCCACGAGCCACCCCAGUGCCGCAGGGAAGCCGUUAAGCAUGCCGCCUGGGAAGUACGAUCGCAAGAUUGAAACUUAAAGGAAUUGGCGGGGGA